AAAUAAAUUUGUAUCAUUCAGCAAGCAAAGAAGACAGCAACUCAAAAUCUGCAAGUAAUGAAGUAAAAGGGCACGGAAACAAUGGUGAUUCUAAUUCUGCAAGUUAUCAAGUAAAGGGGAAGUAUGCAUUCAGGAUUGUUGACAAUUCUGAAAGUCACCAGGUGAAGGGCCAGUAUUCAAGGAGAUCCUCUGAAGAAAAUAGGCAGAAUGGUCACUCCAAUUCUGAC
Molecule: long non-coding RNA, 227 nt
Organism: Pristis pectinata (smalltooth sawfish)
Lineage: Eukaryota; Metazoa; Chordata; Chondrichthyes; Rhinopristiformes; Pristidae
Exons: 4
Source: RefSeq, a predicted model, not a curated record